AUACGUAGGGGGCGAGCGUUGUCCGGAAUGAUUGGGCGUAAAGGGCGCGUAGGCGGCUUUGCAAGUCAGUAGUGGGAGUCCAUUUUUCAAGGAUGGAAGUGCUACAGAAACUGCGGAGCUUGAGUGCAGGAGAGGUUAUCGGAAUUCCCGGUGUAGCGGUGAAAUGCGUAGAGAUCGGGGGGAACACCAGUGGCGAAGGCGGGUAACUGGACUGCAACUGACGCUGAGGCGCGAAAGUGUGGGGAGCAAACAGGAUUAGAUACCCUGGUAGUCCACACUGUAAACGAUGAAUGCUAGGUGUAGGAGGUAUCGACCCCUUCUGUGCCGCAGUAAACACAGUAAGCAUUCCGCCUGGGGAGUACGGUCGCAAGAUUGAAACUCAAAGGAAUUGACGGGG
RNAcentral lists this ribosomal RNA (397 nucleotides) under uncultured bacterium. Its description in RNAcentral is "partial 16S ribosomal RNA". It matches the Rfam family "Bacterial small subunit ribosomal RNA", at positions 523 to 918 of the family's 1533-position model. The record is from RNAcentral.